Molecule: long non-coding RNA, 515 nt
Organism: Alexandromys fortis (reed vole)
Lineage: Eukaryota; Metazoa; Chordata; Mammalia; Rodentia; Cricetidae
Exons: 3
Source: RefSeq, a predicted model, not a curated record
CACAGCUUUUCUUCUCACAGGUGGAAAAGGAGGCAACUAUGCUCCAGCUUCAGACAGGGACAGUGACCAGAGCUCUGAUGUGUCUCUCCCAGACUGUAAAGCGUGAAGACAGCUGCCUGGUGUGGAUGGAGUGACAGACGAUGUGUUCAGGUCUCUCCUGUGACAUCCAGAGCCCCUCAGUUCACUCUCAGCAAUAGUGUCUGAUGUUCCCUGUGAUCCUAUGUGCUCAGUGUAAAGAACUGGGAGCCCAGCCCACCCCUGCACACCUGACCCUGUCCCUGCACUGCCCUGUUCCCUUCCACAGCCAACCUUCCUGUUCCUGCAGACAGGAGGGGACAUCUCCAUCCUGUCUCCUCCAUGCUGCCCUGAGCUGCAGCCCUGACUUCCCCACUGAAAAUAAGAAUCUGAAAGUGAACUUGAUUGUUCAUGUCCUAGAUCUCAAAGGUUGAUUGGCGGUAAAAUAAAGGAUUGAGAUAGAGUUUAUGGAGGAAAUAAAUGGCAGCGUGGAGAACCUC